UGGGGCGUCGCCAAGCGGUAAGGCACCGGGUUUUGAUCCCGGCAUUCGUAGGUUCGAUCCCUGCCGCCCCAGCCA
Molecule: transfer RNA, 75 nt
Filed under: Desulfotalea sp.
Lineage: Bacteria; Pseudomonadati; Thermodesulfobacteriota; Desulfobulbia; Desulfobulbales; Desulfocapsaceae
Also listed under: 1 other name
Description: tRNA-Gln
Rfam family: tRNA
About the family: Transfer RNA (tRNA) molecules are approximately 80 nucleotides in length. Their secondary structure includes four short double-helical elements and three loops (D, anti-codon, and T loops).
Source: RNAcentral